GCCGUUUACUUUGAAAAAAUUAGAGUGUUCAAAGCAGGCCUACGCUUGAAUACAUUAGCAUGGAAUAAUGGAAUAGGACUUUGGUCUUAUUUGUUGGUUUAUGGGACCGAAGUAAUGAUUAACAGGGACAGUUGGGGCCGUUUAUAUUUCGUUGUCAGAGGUGAAAUUCUUGGAUUUACGAAAGAUAAACUUCUGCGAAAGCAUUCGGCAAGGAUGUUUUCAUUGAUCAAGAACGAAAGUUAGGGGAUCGAAGACGAUCAGAUACCGUCGUAGUCUUAACCAUAAACUAUGCCGACUAGGGAUCAGUGGAUGUCAAUUUGCGACUCCAUUGGCACCUUGUGAGAAAUCAAAGUUUUUGGGUUCCGGGGGGAGUAUGGUCGCAAGGCUGAAACUUAAAGGAAUUGACGGAAGGGCACCACCAGGAGUGGAGCCUGCGGCUUAAUUUGACUCAACACGGGGAAACUUACCAGGUCCAGACAUAGUAAGGAUUGACAGAUUGAAAGCUCUUUCUUGAUUCUAUGGGUGGUGGUGCAUGGCCGUUCUU
This 544-nucleotide ribosomal RNA is filed under the name Rhodomonas sp. RCC5528. RNAcentral's name for it is "SSU rRNA". It matches the Rfam family "Eukaryotic small subunit ribosomal RNA", at positions 747 to 1295 of the family's 1831-position model. Lineage: Eukaryota; Cryptophyceae; Pyrenomonadales; Pyrenomonadaceae. The record is from RNAcentral.